UCUCCGUAGGUGAACCUGCGGAGGGAUCAUUAACGAGUACGGGCCCGCAAGGGCCCAAUCUCCCACCCAAUGUUGUCGAGAAAACACCGUUGCCUCGGCGGGCAGGCGGGCCGCGACUGGCCCGCCGCCUGGACCCCUCGGGGCUUCCGAACCCCGCCGGCGGACAAACACAACCCUGUCAAUGAACAAAAAUUGCGGUCUGAGCGAGAUUUAUCAAAUAAAAAUCAAAACUUUCAACAACGGAUCUCUUGGUUCUGGCAUCGAUGAAGAACGCAGC
Molecule: unclassified non-coding RNA, 277 nt
Filed under: uncultured fungus
Lineage: Eukaryota; Fungi
Description: sequence contains ITS1, 5.8S rRNA gene
Rfam family: 5.8S ribosomal RNA (bases 229-277)
Source: RNAcentral